This 491-nucleotide ribosomal RNA is filed under the name uncultured bacterium. RNAcentral's name for it is "partial 16S ribosomal RNA". It matches the Rfam family "Bacterial small subunit ribosomal RNA", at positions 29 to 506 of the family's 1533-position model. The record is from RNAcentral.
AGUGAACGCUGGCGGUAGGCCUAACACAUGCAAGUCGAACGGCAGCACAGUAAUAGCUUGCUCUUACGGGUGGCGAGUGUCGGACGGGUGAGGAAUACAUCGGCAUCUACUUUUUCGUGGGGGAUAACGUAGGGAAACUUACGCUAAUACCGCAUACGACCUACGGUUGAAAGCAGGGGAUCUUCGGACCUUGCGCGAUUGAAUGAGCCGAUGUCGGAUUAGCUAGUUGGCGGGGUAAAGGCCCACCAAGGCGACGAUCCGUAGCUGGUCUGAGAGGAUGAUCAGACACACUGGAACUGAGACACGGUCCAGACUCCGACGGGAGGCAGCAGUGGGGAAGAUUGGACAAUGGGCGCAAGCCUGAUGCAGCCAUACCGCGUGGGUGAAGAAGGGAUGCGGGUGGUAAAGCCCUUUUGUUGGGAAAGAAAAGCAGCAGGUUAAUACCCCGCUGUUCUGACGGUACCCAAAGAAUAAGCACCGGCGAACUUCGU